AGUGAACGCUGGCGGUAGGCCUAACACAUGCAAGUCGAACGGCAGCACAGUAAGAGCUUGCUCUUACGGGUGGCGAGUGGCGGACGGGUGAGGAAUACAUCGGAAUCUACUUUUUCGUGGGGGAUAACGUAGGGAAACUUACGCUAAUACCGCAUACGACCUACGGGUGAAAGCAGGGGAUCUUCGGACCUUGCGCGAUUGAAUGAGCCGAUGUCGGAUUGGCUAGUUGGCGGGGUAAAGGCCCACCAAGGCGACGAUCCGUAGCUGGUCUGAGAGGAUGUUCAGCCACACUGGAACUGAGACACGGUGCCGACUCCUACGGGAGGGAGCAGUGGGGAAUAUUGGACAAUGGGCGCAAGCCUGAUCCAGCCAUACCGCGUGGGUGAAGAAGGCCUUCGGGUUGUAAAGCCCUUUUGUUGGGAAAGAAAAGCAGCAGGUUAAUACCCCGCUGUUCUGACGGUACCCAAAGAAUAAGCACCGGCUAACUUCGUG
RNAcentral lists this ribosomal RNA (492 nucleotides) under uncultured bacterium. Its description in RNAcentral is "partial 16S ribosomal RNA". It matches the Rfam family "Bacterial small subunit ribosomal RNA", at positions 29 to 507 of the family's 1533-position model. The record is from RNAcentral.